This 56-nucleotide transfer RNA is filed under the name Leptorhynchoides thecatus. RNAcentral's name for it is "tRNA-Gln". The record is from RNAcentral. Lineage: Eukaryota; Metazoa; Acanthocephala; Palaeacanthocephala; Echinorhynchida; Rhadinorhynchidae.
CAGUAUUUAGUUUUGUUUAGAAAGCAAAAAUUCGAUUUACGUGCUGAUUAUGUUGA